GAUGAACGCUAGCGGCAGGCUUAACACAUGCAAGUCGAGGGGCAGCACGGGUAGCAAUACCUGGUGGCGACCGGCGCAAGGGUGCGUAACGCGUGAGCAACGUGCCCUAUACAGGGGGAUAAUCCAGGGAAACUUGGUCUAAUAUCCCAUAGCAUUUAGAGGAGGCAUCUUCACUAAAUUAAAGCUUCGGUGGUAUAGGAUUGGCUCGCGUGACAUUAGCUAGAUGGUGAGGUAACGGCCCACCAUGGCUAUGAUGUCUAGGGGUUCUGAGAGGAAGACCCCCCACACUGGGACUGAGACACGGCCCAGACUCCUACGGGAGGCAGCAGUGAGGAAUAUUGGACAAUGGAUAGGAAAUCUGAUCCAGCCAUGCCGCGUGCAGGAAGACGGCCCUAUGGGUUGUAAACUGCUUUAUAUGGGAGCAAUAAGGUUUACGAGUAGACCGAUGAGAGUACCAUAUGAAUAAGCAUCGGCUAACUCCG
Molecule: ribosomal RNA, 482 nt
Filed under: uncultured bacterium
Lineage: Bacteria
Description: bacterial SSU rRNA
Rfam family: Bacterial small subunit ribosomal RNA
Source: RNAcentral